AUCCUUUUGUAGUUCAUGAGUGUGAAUACUGGGUGUUCACACACAUUUGUGAGAUGUGCCACCCUUGAACCGUGUUACGAUGUCAGCACAUUACCCAUCUGACA
RNAcentral lists this small nucleolar RNA (104 nucleotides) under Aotus nancymaae (Ma's night monkey). RNAcentral's name for it is "Small nucleolar RNA U13 (ENSANAG00000013787.1)". It matches the Rfam family "Small nucleolar RNA U13". Lineage: Eukaryota; Metazoa; Chordata; Mammalia; Primates; Aotidae. The record is from Rfam by way of RNAcentral.